GAUGAACGCUGGCGGCGUGCCUAAUACAUGCAAGUCGAGCGAACAGAUGAGGAGCUUGCUCCUCUGACGUUAGCGGCGGACGGGUGAGUAACACGUGGAUAACCUACCUAUAAGACUGGGAUAAAUUCGGGAAACCGGAGCUAAUACCGGAUAAUAUAUUGAACCGCAUGGUUCAAUAGUGAAAGACGGUUUUGCUGUCACUUAUAGAUGGAUCCGCGCCGCAUUAGCUAGUUGGUAAGGUAACGGCUUACCAAGGCAACGAUGCGUAGCCGACCUGAGAGCGUGAUCGGCCACACUGGACCUGAGACACGGUCCAGACUCCUACGGGAGGCAGCAGUAGGGAAUCUUCCGCAAUGGUCGAAAGCCUGACGGAGCAACGCCGCGUGAGUGAUGAAGGUCUUCGGAUCGUAAAACUCUGUUAUUAGGGAAGAACAAAUGUGUAAGUAACUAUGCACGUCUUGACGGUACCUAAUCAGAAAGCCACGGCUAACUACGUG
RNAcentral lists this ribosomal RNA (497 nucleotides) under uncultured bacterium. Its description in RNAcentral is "partial 16S ribosomal RNA". It matches the Rfam family "Bacterial small subunit ribosomal RNA", at positions 28 to 507 of the family's 1533-position model. The record is from RNAcentral.